CGUCUCCUUUGCUAGGCGAUGGGAUGAUUGUGCUGACUCAUGCUGAGUUAGUUACUGUGAAGUGCAGCGCAGAGGGAGUUAAAUGAAAAGCAAUCUGUGGUUUGCAGGCAUUGCGGUCCUGCACCAGAUAGGGAGCAGUAAGAUUUUUGAAGUCUUGGAAACUGCAUCUUCUUUCAGAAGGAGGAAGGAUGGUAAUUCUGAGGAAAGUUAUCAAAACUGUUCUCAGCAUUGAGCAGGCGGAAGGGGUUGGGGCGCGUGUUCGGAGAAGCAUUGGCAGGCCUGAGUUAAAAAAUGUGGAUCCUUUUUUGUUGCUUGAUGAAUUCAAAGGAGGCAAACCAGCUGGCUUUCCUGAUCACCCCCAUCGGGGUUUUGAGACGCCAUAUGUUGGUGUUGAUGGUUCCAUGAUUCUGUCUCACACCCAUAUCCGCUCUAUGUGUUUGUGUAAUAUAUGGGCCUCAGUUUCCAUGGGCUGUGCAGCCAGUUUAGGAUGCAACUCUGCAACUUGAUUCAAACUCACAGUUAGGC
This is a non-coding RNA of Chrysemys picta bellii (western painted turtle), 525 nucleotides long. The record is from RefSeq and is a predicted model, not a curated record. NCBI's taxonomy places the organism in Eukaryota, Metazoa, Chordata, Testudines, Emydidae.